Molecule: ribosomal RNA, 252 nt
Filed under: uncultured bacterium
Lineage: Bacteria
Description: partial 16S ribosomal RNA
Rfam family: Bacterial small subunit ribosomal RNA
Source: RNAcentral
UACGUAGGGUGCAGCGUUAAUCGGAAUUACUGGGCGUAAAGCGUGCGCAGGCGGUGAUGUAAGACAGAUGUGAAAUCCCCGGGCUCAACCUGGGAACUGCAUUUGUGACUGCAUCGCUAGAGUACGGCAGAGGGGGAUGGAAUUCCGCGUGUAGCAGUGAAAUGCGUAGAUAUGCGGAGGAACACCGAUGGCGAAGGCAAUCCCCUGGGCCUGUACUGACGCUCAUGCACGAAAGCGUGGUGAGCAAACAGG